AGGACGAACGCUGGCGGCGUGCUUAACACAUGCAAGUCACGGGGGCCCGCAAGGGCAACCGGCGAACGGGUGCGUAACACGUGAGCAACCUACCGAGAUGUGGGGGAUAGCCGGCCCAACGGCCGGGUAAUACCGCAUACGCUCUUUCCACGGCAUUGUGGAUUGAGGAAACCUCCGGGGCAUUUCGAGGGGCUCGCGGCCUAUCAGCUAGUUGGUGCGGUCACGGCGCACCAAGGCGACGACGGGUAGCUGGUCUGAGAGGAUGGCCAGCCACAGUUGGGACUGAGAAACGGCCCAGACUCCGUACGGGAGCAGCAGUGGG
This 322-nucleotide ribosomal RNA is filed under the name uncultured soil bacterium. Its description in RNAcentral is "bacterial SSU rRNA". It matches the Rfam family "Bacterial small subunit ribosomal RNA", at positions 26 to 358 of the family's 1533-position model. The record is from RNAcentral.